Bufo bufo (common toad) is the source of this 779-nucleotide long non-coding RNA. RefSeq lists it as uncharacterized. The record is from RefSeq and is a predicted model, not a curated record. The transcript has 12 exons. NCBI's taxonomy places the organism in Eukaryota, Metazoa, Chordata, Amphibia, Anura, Bufonidae.
UGCAGGGAGGUCAGGAGGCAGCUGGACACCAGGAACGCAGUGAGCACUUACCUGCAGGGAGGUCAGGAGGCAGCUGGACACCAGGAGCGCAGUGAGCACUUACCUGCAGGGAGGUCAGGAGGCAGCUGGACACCAGGAGCGCAGUGAGCACUUACCUGCAGGGAGGUCAGGAGGCAGCUGGACACCAGGAGCGCAGUGAGCACUUACCUGCAGGGAGGUCAGGAGGCAGCUGGACACCAGGAACGCAGUGAGCACUUACCUGCAGGGAGGUCAGGAGGCAGCUGGACACCAGGAACGCAGUGAGCACUUACCUGCAGGGAGGUCAGGAGCGCAGUGAGCACUUACCUGCAGGGAGGUCCGGAGUGCAGUGAGCACUUACCUGCAGGGAGGUCAGGAGUGCAGUGAGCACUUACCUGCAGGGAGGUCAGGAGGCAGCUGGACACCAGGAGCGCAGUGAGCACUUACCUGCAGGGAGGUCAGGAGGCAGCUGGACACCAGGAGCGCAGUGAGCACUUACCUGCAGGGAGGUCAGGAGGCAGCUGGACACCAGGAGCGCAGUGAGCACUUACCUGCAGGGAGGUCAGGAGGCAGCUGGACACCAGGAACGCAGUGAGCACUUACCUGCAGGGAGGUCAGGAGGCAGCUGGACACCAGGAGCGCAGUGAGCACUUACCUGCAGGGAGGUCAGGAGGCAGCUGGACACCAGGAACGCAGUGAGCACUUACCUGCAGGGAGGUCAGGAGGCAGCUGGACACCAUGAUCAGCAGCCAGAAGUCCAU